This is a long non-coding RNA of Oncorhynchus tshawytscha (Chinook salmon), 1627 nucleotides long. Lineage: Eukaryota; Metazoa; Chordata; Actinopteri; Salmoniformes; Salmonidae. The record is from Ensembl.
GUACUGGAAAAGAGUCUAUACAUGAUUAUAUUUCUGUGUGACCUCUGACCAUGCUUUAUACACUGCAGCACUGCACUGGUACCACUGUGUCUUGGCAGUGAUAUUUGAACAGGAAGUUUAAACUAGAAGAAGUAUGUCUCAACUCACAGCCAAACAAAACAACUGGAAAGGGAAAUAUGAACUCGGACACAAGUGAGAUUAAACAAACUUCCUUGCCGAAGAACAAAAUGUUUCCAGACCCAAGUUUUUCCGGACCUUUAGCCCCCUAGUUUUCAGACACGCUAGAGGAAAUAUGCCUGUCCAAAUGUGGCUACACGGCACGCAAACAUAAGAUACAGUGUAACAAUAUGAUAUCAAAACAGUGUAGUAAUAUCAGUACUAGCGCAGAGCGAUGCACUACACCUACCCACUGUGUUGCUAAUGUUCUCUCCACCAGAGUGGUCCACUGUGACCUGCUUCAUGACCCCUGGAGGUAGCAACCCUGCACCAUCCUGUCUAGGAUUUCCCCCAGUCUCACUCCCCAGAAGAUGCUGGGCCUCCGGGUAUGGGCAACUCUCCUGUGGUGGCUGGGCCUGUAUAUAGGAAGCCGUCUGUAGGGCAGCAGGACAAUGAUAGCUCUCCCACACAUUAUAGCUCCCUCUUAAACCUUCCUUACAAAUCUGCUCAUCCUAAAGGUAGAGACACAUUCUCACACAGUGACCCAUUUGACUUUCGAGAAGUCACCGUUUAUUCUUCUAGCAACACUGCAGAAGUUCGAUACAUACAUUAUGCAAAUAGAGAAUUAGUACUGUACUCACAUUUAUACCAAAUACUGGACCUAAAGGAAUAUAAAAGGAAUCAAGAAAUCAAAAUGCAUAUUGUAUAUGCAUGUAUACACCACAAUGUUUCACUGUCUCCCUAUAAUUAUUGUAAGUGUAUUUAUUUACUGUGUUUUAUAGAAAGGGAAACAUGGCAUAUAAUCUGAUGCAUCACUGCAUAACGUUGUUUGUGUUAUCUAACCACUUUACUCGCUCACCUUUCCACUUGUCUAGGGACUUCAGUGACCUCUCCUUACAACGGACAAAGUAAACAACCAGCAGCACGACAACCCCUAGUAGCCCACCUAUCAGCAGCAGCCAAGGGAGAGUGGAAGGGCUCGGUCCAGUAUCUGUUGCUAAGAGAUGAGAUUAUAUCAGAGGUGUUGGUGAACCCCUCCCGCAUCUGAACUGGCUACAUAGAGGGCACAGCAUGAUCAGAGGUAUGUUUUGAAAGAGGAUGCCAACGUCACCACCUAACCCACUCUUAAGAUAACCUUCGGGCCCACUGGGAGCCCAAGGCUGGUUAGGAGACACCGCUAGAGACUCUACUAGGGACUCUAUUAUGUAAUUGUGAUGAACUGAGUGAAUAUUAGGGUAGUACUGUGAUUCAUUAAUCAUAUGCUGUCUUCAUUGCUCCUCUGUUCUUACCUCUUUCCCUUUCUGUAUUUUACACCUCUCUCGCCACCCCCUCUUUCUUCCUGUUUUUAUAAUGCACACCAGAUGUGCUUUGAAGUACAGAUUACACUUGUAUUUAUAAUAUAUUACAAUUCUAAUAUUUAUAAUGCAUAAUGUAUUUAUAACCCUUGGAUAAUGAACUUCUUUCAAUAAAG